UUUAUCAAGAAAGGUGGAGGGACUGGCCCUAUGAAGCCUAGCAACAGCUAACUUUAUAAGUUAGAAUUGUGCUAAAUCCUGCAAGGAAAUUUAUAUAAA
RNAcentral lists this non-coding RNA (99 nucleotides) under Clostridium mediterraneense. Its description in RNAcentral is "SAM riboswitch (S box leader)". It matches the Rfam family "SAM riboswitch aptamer (S box leader)". Rfam says of the family: The SAM riboswitch is found upstream of a number of genes which code for proteins involved in methionine or cysteine biosynthesis in Gram-positive bacteria. The SAM riboswitch acts at the level of transcription termination control. Lineage: Bacteria; Bacillati; Bacillota; Clostridia; Eubacteriales; Clostridiaceae. The record is from RNAcentral.